Molecule: ribosomal RNA, 460 nt
Filed under: uncultured bacterium
Lineage: Bacteria
Description: partial 16S ribosomal RNA
Rfam family: Bacterial small subunit ribosomal RNA
Source: RNAcentral
ACUACGGGUGGCAGCAGUGAGGAAUAUUGGUCAAUGGACGGAAGUCUGAACCAGCCAUGCCGCGUGCAGGAAGACGGCUCUAUGAGUUGUAAACUGCUUUUGUACAAGGGUAAACCUGAAUACGUGUAUUCAGCUGAAAGUACUGUACGAAUAAGGAUCGGCUAACUCCUUGCCAGCAGUCGCGGUAAUACGGAGGAUCCAAGCGUUUUCCGGAUUGAUUUGGUUUAAAGGGUUCGUGGGCGGAUUGAUAAGGUAGAGGGGAAAUGUCCGAGCUUAACUCGGGAAUUGCCUCUAAUACUGUUGAUCUAGAGAGUAGAUGCGGUAGGCGGAAUGUAUUGUGUAGCGGUGAAAUGCUUAGAGAUCAUACAGAACACCGGUUGCGAAGGCAGCUUACCAAUCUAUAUCUGACGUUGAGGCACGAAAGCGUGGGGAGCAAACAGGAUUAGAUACCCGGGUAGUC